AAAGAGAACGAGAGUGGGCAUGGAUGAGUGUUCAAAAGUUGUUUUCCCACUUCCAAAAAGCAUCCUCACGAAACGAGCAGUCUAAGGGAAGGCAUCAUCAGCUUUAGGGCUUCAAGGCUGGCGUCGCACUCUUUAAACGAUGCAUGUUACUCGUCAGUGCUGAUUUGGACCUUCUUCCAAGUGGUCGAGUCGUCUCAGUCUUUGUUUUUUCCUAACAUCACGACAUAGGCUGAAGGAGCAUUCCCUCUGACAUUUCUCAUUUGGUAAUUACUUAUAAAUUAAUCGAGGAUUUUAUAUUUUGAAGGAGACCUGGAGUAAAAAUCAAAGAUGGAAAAAUCUCCAACUAAAUCUUCUGCCGUCAUCCGCUCAGAUGAAAAUGUAGACUCUUCAUCAUCUGCUGCUGACAUCGCUUCCAAGUCCAAAUUAUCUCCGUUGGCAGCUCCCUUUUUUCCGAGGGAGGUUCCGUCCGCAUCAACGCCAUUAGUGAAGCAGAAUGAAACAUGGCCCUCUCCUCCCUCGUCAAGUAUUGAAAACGACGCUGCUGAUCCUCCCCUUGCAUUGGAUCUUCUUCCUGGUGAACACAUUCAUCCUACACAACCAUUUCUGAACAUGUUGGGAUUUUGGACGCAGCCAGGACCACGCUUUCCGAGCUCUGCAAGACCACCCGGCCCACCAUAUUUUUUCCUGCCACCAGCACCACCACACCCUUCUUCGCAAGGCAACUUCCCCCACCUCACGCCCAGCACUACCAGAAAUGAGCCCAGCUCUCAGACUCCUUGGCUGCCUUAUCGCAAAGUGAAGACCUCCACGGGCAGAUAUUACUGUAUGAAGUAUUAAUUACGCGUACGCUAAAUUGUAUAGAUUUUGAAAUGAUAUCUUUGUCGGAUUUUGUCAUCUUUUUUAUUUUGAUGAAUUAUUAUUAUCUUUUAUGAGAAACCAUAUUCUAGUCUGAAUGAACUUUUAAAUUGUAAGUAAAUUUGGAACACAUUUGUUCUUAUCUCAACAUAGAUAAAGUUGGCUCAACCUUAAAUUAAAUUUAAAACUGUCAACUUUAUGAAACUGAAAAUAGUCAUGAAUGAUAAACCCGAAACAAUAAGUAAAUGAACUAUUAACUUGUAUCAAAUUAUGGUAA
Long non-coding RNA from Folsomia candida, 1132 nucleotides. RefSeq lists it as uncharacterized. The record is from RefSeq and is a predicted model, not a curated record. The transcript is spliced from 3 exons. NCBI's taxonomy places the organism in Eukaryota, Metazoa, Arthropoda, Collembola, Entomobryomorpha, Isotomidae.